Molecule: long non-coding RNA, 1126 nt
Filed under: Homo sapiens (human)
Lineage: Eukaryota; Metazoa; Chordata; Mammalia; Primates; Hominidae
Description: MIR924 host gene
Source: RNAcentral
AGGCGGGAAGUGCUCUAGCAGGGGAGUCUGACCUUGUGAGGGAAUACCUGUGUCCCCCCUUUUUUCCCCUUUUUACCCAAUAAAACCCUGCCUUACUCACCCUUUAAAUCAUCUGCGAGCCUGAAUUUUCAUGGCCGUGGGACGGACAAGAACUUUAUCUUCAGCUGAACUAAGAAAAAGUCCUGCAACAUUUUUGGCGCGCAAUGUGGGGGCACCAGAAGCGGGCACCGUUGAGCUGUUGCAACUGUUCUGCUGAUUUCUAUCAUGGAAAAUAUCCCUGCAAGCAGUAACCACUAUUUGAAUGGUGAAAUCAGCAGCACAGCAAACAUGGUUCUUAAUGAGGAGCCUUAUGUAUGUGGUUGAAACCACCUGUACUACUGGAAUGAAAGCACCUUUACAGAAGAGGCAAUGCAAGUUGUAUUCAUCACAUGUGUAGAAUGAAUUAAGAUUUAUGCCAGUUGCAAAGAAGAAUAUUGGCUCACUAUUUUUCCUCUGGGCAUCAGCAUAUGAUCCCCUGUUGAAGACAGACAAGUACAUCUUUCUGGUGGCUCCUAGACCUGGCAUUGGGAACAGAAGAUUAUCAGUAUGAUCCGUACGCUUAAGGAAAGAUCUCAUAUUAUUGAAAUGAAUAUUUUAUUUGAUAAAUUGAACUACAGAAUAAAGUACUUUUAACAAACCAUACUUUCUGCAGUGGUUCUUUCUUUCUCUUGUUUCUUUUCUUCUUUCCUUCCUCCCUAGCUGUUUCCCUCAUUCUCUUCUUUUUUUCCUUCUUUCUUUUCACUUCCUUUUUUUUUUUCUUGAUUAGAAUUCUAGAAUUUCUACUUAAUUCAAGAGAUUCCUACCAUCUGAAAUGCUUGGUUUCAAAGGGUGAGAAUAGUAACCCACACAUUUUUUUUCAAUACAAGGGAAAUAAUAGAAAGAUUUGUGCCUUACAUUUCUUCCCAUUCUUCCUACGACUAUAUGUUAUUCACAAAAGCACAUGGCACUUGAAUUCUAACAAAAUUGUAUUACUGUUAAAGUGAGCUUCUCAAAUGCACUCUGCAUGUAACACUCCAACAAUUCAUGAUGGAUUUGCUGCCUUAAAAAUAAAAUAAUCUUAAUAAUUUUUAAAACCAAUAAGCAGAAA